This 468-nucleotide ribosomal RNA is filed under the name uncultured bacterium. Its description in RNAcentral is "partial 16S ribosomal RNA". It matches the Rfam family "Bacterial small subunit ribosomal RNA", at positions 28 to 507 of the family's 1533-position model. The record is from RNAcentral.
GACGAACGCUGGCGGCGUGCUUAACACAUGCAAGUCGAACGGAAAGGCCCUGCUUUUGUGGGGUGCUCGAGUGGCGAACGGGUGAGUAACACGUGAGUAACCUGCCCUUGACUUUGGGAUAACUUCAGGAAACUGGGGCUAAUACCGGAUAGGAGCUCCUGCUGCAUGGUGAGGGUUGGAAAGUUUCGGCGGUUGGGGAUGGACUCGCGGCUUAUCAGCUUGUUGGUGGGGUAGCGGCUUACCAAGGCUUUGACGGGUAGCCGGCCUGAGAGGGUGACCGGCCACAUUGGGACUGAGAUACGGCCCAGACUCCUACGGGAGGCAGCAGUGGGGAAUAUUGCACAAUGGGCGGAAGCCUGAUGCAGCAACGCCGCGUGCGGGAUGACGGCCUUCGGGUUGUAAACCGCUUUCGCCUGUGACGAAGCGUGAGUGACGGUAAUGGGUAAAGAAGCACCGGCUAACUACGUG